GAUUCUUUAGUAUAAAUUAGUAUUUUUGACUUCCAAUCAAAGGGUCCCAAGGAUUA
Molecule: transfer RNA, 56 nt
Filed under: Caenorhabditis castelli
Lineage: Eukaryota; Metazoa; Nematoda; Chromadorea; Rhabditida; Rhabditidae
Description: tRNA-Gly
Source: RNAcentral